This 495-nucleotide ribosomal RNA is filed under the name uncultured bacterium. RNAcentral's name for it is "partial 16S ribosomal RNA". It matches the Rfam family "Bacterial small subunit ribosomal RNA", at positions 28 to 507 of the family's 1533-position model. The record is from RNAcentral.
GACGAACGCUGGCGGCGUGCCUAAUACAUGCAAGUAGAACGCUGAAGGAGGAGCUUGCUUCUCUGGAUGAGUUGCGAACGGGUGAGUAACGCGUAGGUAACCUGCCUGGUAGCGGGGGAUAACUAUUGGAAACGAUAGCUAAUACCGCAUAAUAGUAGAUGUUGCAUGACAUUUGCUUAAAAGGUGCAAUUGCAUCACUACCAGAUGGACCUGCGUUGUAUUAGCUAGUUGGUGGGGUAACGGCUCACCAAGGCGACGAUACAUAGCCGACCUGAGAGGGUGAUCGGCCACACUGGGACUGAGACACGGCCCAGACUCCUACGGGAGGCAGCAGUAGGGAAUCUUCGGCAAUGGACGGAAGUCUGACCGAGCAACGCCGCGUGUGUGAAGAAGGUUUUCGGAUCGUAAAGCUCUGUUGUAAGAGAAGAACGAGUGUGAGAGUGGAAAGUUCACACUGUGACGGUAUCUUACCAGAAAGGGACGGCUAACUACGUG